Molecule: long non-coding RNA, 101 nt
Organism: Aquila chrysaetos chrysaetos
Lineage: Eukaryota; Metazoa; Chordata; Aves; Accipitriformes; Accipitridae
Exons: 3
Source: RefSeq, a predicted model, not a curated record
AAAGAAGUAGAACGGGAGAAGUACUCAGGUUACCAACACAAUUCACAGGGGAUACCAUACCCCAGGAGAGUCCAGUAUAAGACAUCUUUGAGCACAGAAUU